This 406-nucleotide ribosomal RNA is filed under the name uncultured bacterium. Its description in RNAcentral is "partial 16S ribosomal RNA". It matches the Rfam family "Bacterial small subunit ribosomal RNA", at positions 30 to 526 of the family's 1533-position model. The record is from RNAcentral.
AUUGAACGCUGGCGGCAGGCCUAACACAUGCAAGUCGAACGAGUGGCGGACGGGUGAGUAAUGUCUGGGAAACUGCCUGACGGAGGGGGCUAACUACUGGAAACGGUAGCUAAUACCGCAUACCAUCAGAUGUGCCCAGAUGGGAUUAGCUUGUUGGUGGGGUAACGACUCAACAAGUCGACGAUUCCUAGCUGGUCUGAGAGGAUGACCAUCCACACUGAACAUAAUACACGGACCAGACUCCUACGCGAGGCAGCAGUGGGAAAUAUUGCACAAUGGGCGCAAUCCUGAUGCAGCCAAGCCGCGUGUAUGAAGAAAGCCUUCGGAUUGUAAAGUACUUUCAGCGGGGAGGCGUUACCCGCAGAAGAAGCACCGGCUAACUCCGUGCCAGCCGCCGCGGUAAUAC